UACGAAAGGGGCUAGCGUUGUUCGGAAUUACUGGGCGUAAAGCGCACGUAGGCGGCCUUGUAAGUUGGGGGUGAAAUCCCCGGGCUCAACCCGGGAACUGCCUUCAAGACUGCAAAGCUCGAGGAUGCGAGAGGUUAGCGGAAUUCCGAGUGUAGAGGUGAACUUCGUAGAUAUUCGGAAGAACACCAGUGGCGAAGGCGGCUAACUGGCGCAUUUCUGACGCUGAGGUGCGAAAGCGUCGGGAGCAAACAGG
This 253-nucleotide ribosomal RNA is filed under the name uncultured bacterium. Its description in RNAcentral is "partial 16S ribosomal RNA". It matches the Rfam family "Bacterial small subunit ribosomal RNA", at positions 524 to 776 of the family's 1533-position model. The record is from RNAcentral.